RNAcentral lists this ribosomal RNA (1289 nucleotides) under uncultured Sebacina. RNAcentral describes it as "eukaryotic LSU rRNA". The stretch from base 613 to 1289 matches the Rfam family "Eukaryotic large subunit ribosomal RNA", at positions 1 to 656 of the family's 3401-position model. The record is from RNAcentral. Lineage: Eukaryota; Fungi; Basidiomycota; Agaricomycetes; Sebacinales; Sebacinaceae.
UUGGUCAUUUAGAGGAAGUAAAAGUCGUAACAAGGUUUCCGUAGGUGAACCUGCGGAAGGAUCAUUAAUGAAACUUCAAAGUCGGCCAAAGGUUGUUGCUGGUGAUUAUUCACAUGUGCACGCCUUUGGUCGCAAAUCCACACACACCUGUGCAUCUAUGACUCGAGGUUGUAAUGACUGAGAGUAACUUUUAUACACUCUUGUAUGUAAUGGAAUGUCUUUUUGUGCUAUAAUGUACAAUAUAAACAACUUUCAACAACGGAUCUCUUGGCUCUCGCAUCGAUGAAGAACGCAGCGAAAUGCGAUAAGUAAUGUGAAUUGCAGAAUUCAGUGAAUCAUCGAAUCUUUGAACGCACCUUGCACCCUUUGGUAUUCCGAAGGGUACGCCCGUUUGAGUGUCAUUGUAAUCUCACUUCUACAACUUUAUUGUUGUUUGAAUGUGGACUUGGAUGUUGCCGUUUUAUCACGGCUCGUCUUAAAUGCCUGAGUGUACCCUGUUUUGCAGCGUAUCCAGUGUAAUAAACAUUUCACUAGAGUUGGUUGAAAGACCACGUUGACUAUAUGGGCUCUAUGCUUCAAACCGUCUGCCAUGUGGACAAUUUCUUGACAAUUUGACCUCAAAUCGGGUGGGACUACCCGCUGAACUUAAGCAUAUCAAUAAGCGGAGGAAAAGAAACUAACAAGGAUUCCCCUAGUAACGGCGAGUGAAGAGGGAAAAGCUCAAAUUUUAAAUCUGGUGUCUUUGACUCCCGAGUUGUAAUCUAGAGAAGUGUUUUCCGUGUCGGACCGUGUACAAGUUCCCUGGAACGGGGCGUCAUAGAGGGUGAGAAUCCCGUAUAUGCCACGGACUACCGAUGCUCUGUGAUACACUCUCAACGAGUCGAGUUGUUUGGGAAUGCAGCUCAAAAUGGGUGGUAAAUUCCAUCUAAAGCUAAAUAUUGGCGAGAGACCGAUAGCGAACAAGUACCGUGAGGGAAAGAUGAAAAGCACUUUGGAAAGAGAGUGAAACAGUACGUGAAAUUGUUGAAAGGGAAGCGUUUGAAGUCAGUCGCAUCUGUUGGGGUUCAGCCUGGCUUUUGCCUGGUGUAUUUCCUUUCCGAUGGGUCAGCAUCAGUUUCGACCGAGGGAAAAAGACAUUUGGAAUGUGGCUGUCUUCGGGCAGUGUUAUAGCCUUGUGUUGUAUGUCUCGGUUGGGACUGAGGAUUGCAGCGCGCCAUAAAUGGCCGGGGGUCGCUCCUCUCGACACGCGCUUAGGAUGCUGGCAUAAUGGCUUUAAGCGACCCGUCUUG